UGAAGCCGUCCAUGGCCUGCCUGCACCCUGGCAACUGGAGGAAACCCUGGAGGUGAUUGGCCCUGCUGAACACAGAGGACCCAACAUCUCAUGGGAAACCUCAACACAGACUAGCGGGGCUGGCCGGCAGGUGACCCCCAUGGGAAGCAACACGAGUGCCCGAUUCAUCCAUCACCAGCAUCCAUGUAACUCAAGUGACAUCAGCAGAGUCCCUCCUGAUUCUCACCAGUGAAGGUGAGAGGCGAAGCAGGCCCCUGGGUGAGCUGUGUGUCUUUAUCCAAACCCAAGCUCUGUGCAUGCCAGGAACAUGGAUGUGUGCCAGCAUGGGAGGUAGAGACGGAGCUCACUAUGACACUGCCCUCCUGAGCCAGACUUGACCGGAGGUCCCUCAAAGCCCUCACGUGUCUUCCCAUCUCCUCACCUGGUGAUCCAUCUCUUGUUCUGCAGCUGCCAUCCCUUCUUUGCGUAACAUGGGGAAUCCAUUGCCUCAUUAUCUUCUUCACAGGCCUGCAUGUUGGUCUUGUCUCUUCGUUUUUGAUUGGUGUCUUCUUUCCCUGUACAAAACCAACAUACAUCCUCCCAUAGCUCCCUGUCCAAACUUUGGAGCCGCAUAAUCUGCCACGGGUGGUUCUGCCUUCUCAGAAGCACCUUAUGGGUACCAUAGCAGGAGGUGCUGCAGAACAGGGCUCAGGGACGCUGGUGGAAUUUGGGGGCAGAGAGAUCAGGUCUGAAAUAGCAGAAGGGGCUUUGGCUCAGGAUUCAGAGUUGUGGUGAGCAGUGGGAGUUUUCACACCCGCCCCAAACCAGUGCCUGCACUUCUUUGCUAAUGUUCACUGAGCAGCCCUAAAAUCUGGCCCAGCCAGAGGGCUCUUGGGAAAAUCUGGAACGGGGAGCGGAGGAGGAUUUUUGGAAGCUGCUGGCGCUGCAUUCGGGGAAGGAGUCGUGUGCGGGGACGAGCUGAUUAAGAUAAUAUAAUGCCUUUGAGAGCGGGGUUGGGACCACUGGCCCACGGUGGCAGUGACAGAUCCUGGCUCUGGAGACCAAGAAGCCCAGGUCUGUCCUGCAGUGGGUGGCCCAGGCUCUGGUCUGUGAGGACACUACAGCCCCGCAGCAGGACAAAUCGCACUUCCUAGCACCGCUUUGAACUCGGACUCUGCUGCUCUGCCCGCGUGGGUGGAGCAAGUGAGGAGAGAGCAGAUUUAUGAGGAGAAACUGCGUCUGCAGGGGCGGACGGUGGGCCGGACUCGGGGGGCAUCACAGGAUGCACCCCAGUGAAGGAUCAAAGGCCACAGGAACACAAUGUCCUCCAGUGGGAGGCAGGGCUGUUUCCCCCCCACCUGCUGCCAUUGCUGCCAGCCAGAAGCCUCUGCAGCCAUGGGCUGUAUCCUCCCCCGUUCGCCUGUAACACCUGCACUUCCUCGCU
This is a long non-coding RNA of Mauremys reevesii (Reeves's turtle), 1423 nucleotides long. RefSeq lists it as uncharacterized. The transcript is spliced from 3 exons. NCBI's taxonomy places the organism in Eukaryota, Metazoa, Chordata, Testudines, Geoemydidae. The record is from RefSeq and is a predicted model, not a curated record.